GACUUAAAAUCCGUCGACUUUAAAAAUCGU
RNAcentral lists this transfer RNA (30 nucleotides) under Salpiglossis sinuata (painted tongue). RNAcentral describes it as "partial tRNA-Leu". Lineage: Eukaryota; Viridiplantae; Streptophyta; Magnoliopsida; Solanales; Solanaceae. RNAcentral also lists the same sequence under 1 other name. The record is from RNAcentral.